Molecule: ribosomal RNA, 439 nt
Filed under: uncultured bacterium
Lineage: Bacteria
Description: partial 16S ribosomal RNA
Rfam family: Bacterial small subunit ribosomal RNA
Source: RNAcentral
CCUACGGGAGGCAGCAGUGGGGAAUAUUGCACAAUGGGGGAAACCCUGAUGCAGCGACGCCGCGUGAGUGAGGAAGUAUUUCGGUAUGUAAAGCUCUAUCAGCAGGGAAGAAAAUGACGGUACCUGACUAAGAAGCCCCGGCUAACUACGUGCCAGCAACCGCGGGAAUACGUAGGGGGAAAACGUUAUCCGGAUUUACGGUGUGAAAAGGGAGCGUAGACGGUUAAUCAAGUCAGAAGUGAAACCCCGGGCUCAACCUUGGGACUGCUUUUGAGACUGAGUAGCUAGAGUGCAGGAGAGGUAAGCGGAAUUCCUAGUGUAGCGGUGAAAUGCGUAGAUAUUAGGAGGAACACCAGUGGCGAAGGCGGCUUACUGGACUGUAACUGACGUUGAGGCUCGAAAGCGUGGGGAGCAAACAGGAUUAGAUACCCGGGUAGUC